GGGCCCGCACAAGCAGUGGAGUAUGUGGUUUAAUUCGAAGCAACGCGAAGAACCUUACCAGGUCUUGACAUCCCAGAGAUCCUGUAGAGAUACGGGAGUGCCCUUCGGGGAAUCUGGAGACAGGUGGUGCAUGGUUGUCGUCAGCUCGUGUCGUGAGAUGUUGGGUUAAGUCCCGCAACGAGCGCAACCCUUACCGAUAGUUGCUACGCAAGAGCACUCUAUCGGGACUGCCGUUGACAAAACGGAGGAAGGUGGGGAUGACGUCAAAUCAUCAUGCCCCUUAUGACCUGGGCCACACACGUACUACAAUGGCCGCAAACAGAGGGAAGCAAGACAGUGAUGUGGAGCAAACCCCUAAAAGCGGUCCCAGUUCGGACUGCAGGCUGAAACUCGCCUGCACGAAGCCGGAAUUGCUAGUAAUCGCGGAUCAGCAUGCCGCGGUGAAUACGUUCCCGGGCCUU
RNAcentral lists this ribosomal RNA (461 nucleotides) under uncultured bacterium. Its description in RNAcentral is "bacterial SSU rRNA". It matches the Rfam family "Bacterial small subunit ribosomal RNA", at positions 917 to 1382 of the family's 1533-position model. The record is from RNAcentral.